This 350-nucleotide long non-coding RNA is filed under the name Bos taurus (domestic cattle). RNAcentral describes it as "long non-coding RNA NONBTAT004250". Lineage: Eukaryota; Metazoa; Chordata; Mammalia; Artiodactyla; Bovidae. The record is from RNAcentral.
GAUAGGUAGCAGUUAUCAUUUAUUUUUGGAAACCAGUUUCCUUAGAUGUUUAUGUCCACACAGAUCAAGUUGACAUCUUAAAAUAUUGGAUUGGCCACCUCCCAACUCUUCAAGGGAGGGAUCAAGUGUGCUGAGCGUGCUGCAGUGCUGGGUUUUAGGUGUUUAAUCCCUUCCCCUUUGGAAGCCUCUCUCAGUCCCCCAGUCAGAAGAGGAGGACUCUGCAUACUUGUAGCCCUUGUCUGUGUCACUUAAGUGGCCUCGUAUUGUUUUGUUAUUUUUGAUAUCCACCUUCCCAGCUGCACAUGGGCCCUUCAAGGCCACGCUUAGAAUCUUAGAAUCAUAUAUUGUUU